AGAGUUUGAUCCUGGCUCAGAACGAACGCUGGCGGCAGGCUUAACACAUGCAAGUCGAACGGUUGUAGCAAUACAGCCGUGGCGCACGGGUGAGUAACGCGUGGGAAUAUGCCCUUUAGUACGGAAUAACAGCGGGAAACUGCUGACAAUACCGUAUACGCCCUUCGGGGGAAAGAUUUAUCGCUAAAGGAUUAGCCCGCGUAAGAUUAGGUAGUUGGUGGGGUAAUGGCCUACCAAGCCUACGAUCUUUAGCUGGUCUGAGAGGACGAUCAGCCACACUGGAACUGAGACACGGUCCAGACUCCUACGGGAGGCAGCAGUGGGGAAUAUUGGACAAUGGGCGCAAGCCUGAUCCAGCCAUGCCGCGUGAAUGAUGAAGGCCUUAGGGUUGUAAAGUUCUUUUAGGUGGGAAAAUACUGAUGGUACCACCAGAAAAAGCCCCGGCUAACUUCGUGCCAGCAGCCGCGGUAAUACGAAGGGGGCUAGCGUUGUUCGGAAUCACUGGGCGUAAAGCGUACGCAGGCGGCUAUACAAGUCAGGGGUGAAAUCCCAGAGUUUAACUCUGGAACUGCCUUUGAAACUGUAUAGCUAGAGUAUGGUAGGGGAUAGCGGAAUUGCUAAUGUAGAGGUGAAAUUCGUAGAUAUUAGCAGGAACACCAGUGGCGAAGGCGGCUAUCUGGACCAUAACUGACGCUCAUGUACGAAAGCGUGGGGAUCAAACAGGAUUAGAUACCCUGGUAGUCCACGCCGUAAACGAUGAGUGCUAGACGUUGGACCCUUCGGGUUCAGUGUCGCAGCUAACGCGUUAAGCACUCCGCCUGGGAAGUACGGUCGCAAGAUUAAAACUCAAAGGAAUUGACGGGGACCCGCACAAGCGGUGGAGCAUGUGGUUUAAUUCGAGGCAACGCGAAGAACCUUACCAGGCCUUGACAUGGUUAGUUUAGUUUCCAGAGAUGGAUCCUUUCAGUUCGGCUGGCUAACACACAGGUGCUGCAUGGCUGUCGUCAGCUCGUGUCGUGAGAUGUUGGGUUAAGUCCCGCAACGAGCGCAACCCUCGUCUUUAGUUGCCAUCAGGUUAUGCUGGGCACUCUAAAGAAACUGCCGGUGAUAAGCCGGAGGAAGGUGGGGAUGACGUCAAGUCUUCAUGGCCCUUACGGCCUGGGCUACACACGUGCUACAAUGGCAGUGACAGUGCGCCGCUACCUCGCGAGGGGAAGCUAAUCGCAAAAAACUGCCUCAGUUCAGAUUGUACUCUGCAACUCGAGUACAUGAAGUUGGAAUCGCUAGUAAUCGCGGAUCAGCAUGCCGCGGUGAAUACGUUCCCGGGUCUUGUACACACCGCCCGUCACACCAUGGGAGUUGGUUCUACCUUAAGUCGCCCUUAAAAGCGCCCACGGUAGGGUCAAUGACUGGGGUGAAGUCGUAACAAGGUA
RNAcentral lists this ribosomal RNA (1433 nucleotides) under metagenome. Its description in RNAcentral is "bacterial SSU rRNA". It matches the Rfam family "Bacterial small subunit ribosomal RNA". The record is from RNAcentral.